This 769-nucleotide long non-coding RNA is filed under the name Eptatretus burgeri (inshore hagfish). RNAcentral describes it as "lncRNA (ENSEBUG00000017389.1)". Lineage: Eukaryota; Metazoa; Chordata; Myxini; Myxiniformes; Myxinidae. The record is from RNAcentral.
CCCCCCCCCCCCCCCCCCCCCCCCCCCCCCCCCCCCCGAUGAGGAAGAAGACUCGGGGUCAGAGGUCAGGAGGUGUAUAGUGAAAACUUUGUGACGUUCCGAUGUCGGUUUAAUAAAAACGUUCGAGAAUUUGAAUUCCUCAUUCUUGGAGUUUUUUUAUAAAAUAACAAAACCGUCAAUUACAAUGGUGGAGAUCAGUGAUAACAAGGAGAAAAGUGAACACGAGGAGGAAGAAGAAGAAGAAGAAGCUGAGAAGAAGAGAAGAAUGAAAGGACGAUGAAGAACUUCCGGGUUGUUGUUCCCGUAAACCUCGUGCAGAACCUCGAACCGAGAUCGUCGUGGUCGUGACUGAUGGGAAGAGAAGGUGGAACGGAGCCCUCCAGGUCAUCGGUGAAAUGGACAACUUCUUGAAAUGGCUCCAAUCACAAGCCGCAGGUUGUCCAGCUUGCAGGCUCUUCUCUCUUGGGAAGUCUUUUCCUCAACUUGGAGAAUGUUGUUCGAGAACUUUCCAGUUUCUGCAAAAAGUUUAUUGGAUUCCAAAAUGUGCAGCUGGAAAAUAUUCCUGGUUUCUGGGAAAACAGUUUCAGUGAUGUCUGCAACUUCCAUGAUCAGGAUGACGGAUUCACACCUGAGUCUGUAAGACAAGAAAUGGUGUCAGCGAACAGCACUACUUAUUCGUCUCCGCCACAGAGCUGCAGAUGUAUCUCAUCCCAUUAUCUAUCAUUUUAGAAUCAACACCAGUAUUGAUAAACUCUGGUAAUACUGGUAU